This 468-nucleotide ribosomal RNA is filed under the name uncultured bacterium. Its description in RNAcentral is "partial 16S ribosomal RNA". It matches the Rfam family "Bacterial small subunit ribosomal RNA", at positions 28 to 507 of the family's 1533-position model. The record is from RNAcentral.
GACGAACGCUGGCGGCGUGCUUAACACAUGCAAGUCGAACGGAAAGGCCCUGCUUUUGUGGGGUGCUCGAGUGGCGAACGGGUGAGUAACACGUGAGUAACCUGCCCUUGACUUUGGGAUAACUUCAGGAAACUGGGGCUAAUACCGGAUAGGAGCUCCUGCUGCAUGGUGGGGGUUGGAAAGUUUCGGCGGUUGGGGAUGGACUCGCGGCUUAUCAGCUUGUUGGUGGGGGAGUGGAUUACCAAGGCUUUGACGGGUCGGCGGCCUGAGAGGGUGACCGGCCACAUUGGGACUAAGAUACGGCCCAGACUCCUACGGGAGGCAGCAGUGGGGAAUAUUGCACAAUGGGCGGAAGCCUGAUGCAGCAACGCCGCGUGCGUGAUGACGGCCUUCGGGUUGUAAACCGCUUUCGCCUGUGACGAAGCGUGAGUGACGGUAAUGGGUAAAGAAGCACCGGCUAACUACGUG